Molecule: long non-coding RNA, 604 nt
Filed under: Homo sapiens (human)
Lineage: Eukaryota; Metazoa; Chordata; Mammalia; Primates; Hominidae
Description: non-protein coding lnc-VSNL1-6:1
Source: RNAcentral
UGGUCCAGAUCACUGCAGAGAACAUGGAUUCCUUGAGGCAGGCAAUGCGAGAGAUAAAGGACUUCACCAUCACCUGUGGGAAGACGGACGUGGAGGAUCCCCAGGAGCACAUCCACAUCCAGUGGGUGGAUGACGACAAGAACUUUAGCAAAUGUGUCAUAAGUCCUAUAAAUGAGAAGUCCAUGGAGACUAUAACAAAUGUGAAGCUAUUCCAUGGAUCAGAAUGUAAAGCAAAUGGAAAAGUUAUCAGAUGGACAGAGGUGUUUUUCCUAGAAAACACCUAAAUGAUCCUACAAAAUGAUCAUUUUAGCAAAUGAUCCUGCAAAUCAAAUUAGAUUGACUAAGCAUGUUGCCAAGGCUUUUUGCCUUGCUCUCUGUCCUCACCUGAAGCUUCUGAAGGAAGAUGGAAUGACCAAACUGGGACUAAGUAUGACACUUGACUCAGAUCAGGUUUGCUAUCAAGCAGGGAGCAAUGGCCAGCCCCUUCCCUCACAGUAUAUGAAUGAUCUGGACAGCACCUUGGUGCCAGUGAUCCCCGGAGGGGCCUGUCAGCUCAGUGAGGGCCCUGUCGUCAUGGAACUCAUCUUUUAUAUCCUGGAAAACA